CGUGGUUCUCGGGUGACGCACCCUACAAUUGGGCUCCCUCGUCUCUGGUUCUGGGUGCGUCACUCGAGAACCACA
Myotis brandtii (Brandt's bat) is the source of this 75-nucleotide non-coding RNA. The record is from Rfam. NCBI's taxonomy places the organism in Eukaryota, Metazoa, Chordata, Mammalia, Chiroptera, Vespertilionidae.